This 269-nucleotide non-coding RNA is filed under the name Chloroflexi bacterium RBG_13_46_9. RNAcentral's name for it is "partial 23S ribosomal RNA". It matches the Rfam family "Bacterial large subunit ribosomal RNA", at positions 1 to 275 of the family's 2925-position model. The record is from RNAcentral. Lineage: Bacteria; Bacillati; Chloroflexota.
GGUCAAGCGGAAUAAAGCGCACGGUGGAUGCCUUGGCAUCAAAGGCCGAAGAAGGGCGUGGCAAGACUGCGAUAAGCCUCGGCGAGCUGUCUAGCAAGCCUAGCCGGGGAUUCCCGAAUGGAGCAAUCCAUCCCGAUAAAAUCGGGAUACCCCCAGCCAAACACAUAAGCUGGGUGGAGGUAAGUGGGGGAAUUGAAACAUCUUAGUACCCCGAGGAAAAAAUAAACAUUCCCCUAGUAGUGGCGAACGAACGGGGAACAGCCUAAACC